Molecule: transfer RNA, 75 nt
Filed under: Methanobacteriota archaeon
Lineage: Archaea; Methanobacteriati; Methanobacteriota
Description: Euryarchaeota archaeon (soil metagenome) tRNA-Arg
Rfam family: tRNA
About the family: Transfer RNA (tRNA) molecules are approximately 80 nucleotides in length. Their secondary structure includes four short double-helical elements and three loops (D, anti-codon, and T loops).
Source: RNAcentral
GGGCACGUAGCCUAGCCCGGAUAUGGCGUGGGCCUCCUAAGCCCAAGAUCGGGGGUUCGAAUCCCCCCGUGCCCG